UCAAGUAAUUAAGUGCAUGUGGUGGAUGCCUUGGCAGUCAGAGGCGAUGAAAGACGUGAUAGCCUGCGAAAAGCUCCGGGGAGGCGGCAAAUAUCCUUUGAUCCGGAGAUGUCUGAAUGGGGGAACCCACCUACUUUAAGGUAGGUAUUGCAACAUGAAUACAUAGUGUUGCAAGGCGAACGAGGGGAAGUGAAACAUCUCAGUACCCUUAGGAAAAGAAAUCAAUUGAGAUUCCCUCAGUAGCGGCGAGCGAACGGGAUCAGCCCAUUAAGUUAUGUGUGUUUUAGUGGAACGCUCUGGGAAGUGCGAACGUAGAGGGUGAUAUUCCCGUACACGAAAGGGCACACAUAAUGAUGACGAGUAGGGCGAGGCACGUGAAACCUUGUCUGAAUAUGGGGACCAUCCUCCAAGGCUAAAUACUCCUGACUGACCGAUAGUGAACCAGUACCGUGAGGGAAAGGCGAAAAGAACCCCUGUGAGGGAGUGAAAUAGAUCCUGAAACCGCAUGCAUACAAGCAGUGGGAGCACCUUCGUGGUGUGACUGCGUACCUUUUAUAAUGGGUCAGCGACUUAUAUUCAGUAGCGAGGUUAACCGUAUAGGGAGCCGUAGAGAAAUCGAGUCUUAAUAGGGCGUUUAGUUGCUGGGUAUAGACCCGAAACCAGGCGAUCUAUCCAUGAGCAGGUUGAAGGUUGGGUAACACUAACUGGAGGACCGAACCCACUGUCGUUGAAAAGCCAGGGGAUGACUUGUGGAUAGGGGUGAAAGGCUAAUCAAGCCUGGUGAUAGCUGGUUCUCCCCGAAAGCUAUUUAGGUAGCGCCUCGGACGAAUACCAUAGGGGGUAGAGCACUGUUUCGGCUAGGGGGUCAUCCCGACUUACCAAACCGAUGCAAACUCCGAAUACCUAUGAGUACUAUCCGGGAGACAGACUGCGGGUGCUAACGUCCGUAGUCAAGAGGAAAACAAUCCAGACCGCCAGCUAAGGCCCCAAAAUCAUAGUUAAGUGGGAAACGAUGUGGGAAGGCAUAGACAGCUAGGAGGUUGGCUUAGAAGCAGCCACCCUUUAAAGAAAGCGUAAUAGCUCACUAGUCGAGUCGGCCUGCGCGGAAGAUGUAACGGGGCUAAAACUAUGUGCCGAAGCUGCGGAUGUAUACUUUGUAUACGUGGUAGGGGAGCGUUCUGUAAGCCGAUGAAGGUGUGUUGAGAAGCAUGCUGGAGGUAUCAGAAGUGCGAAUGCUGACGUGAGUAACGACAAAACGGGUGAAAAACCCGUUCGCCGAAAGACCAAGGGUUCCAGUCCAACGUUAAUCGGGGCUGGGUGAGUCGACCCCUAAGGCGAGGCCGAAAGGCGUAGUCGAUGGGAAAAUGGUUAAUAUUCCAUUACUUCUGUGUAAUGCGAUGAGAGGACGGAGAAGGCUAAAUCAGCCUGGCGUUGGUUGUCCAGGUGAAAGGAUGUAGGCAUGUAUCUUAGGCAAAUCCGGGGUACUCUAUGCUGAGAUCUGAUAGCAAGCUGUACUUGUACAGCGAAGUGGUUGAUGCCAUGCUUCCAGGAAAAGUCUCUAAGCUUCAGUUACACAGGAAUCGUACCCGAAACCGACACAGGUGGUCAGGUCGAGUAGACCAAGGCGCUUGAGAGAACUCUGCUGAAGGAACUAGGCAAAAUGGUACCGUAACUUCGGGAGAAGGUACGCUGUUGUUGGUGAUGGAACUCGCUUCCUGAGCUGACGACAGCCGCAGAAACCAGGCCGCUGCAACUGUUUAUUAAAAAACAUAGCACUCUGCAAACACGAAAGUGGACGUAUAGGGUGUGAUGCCUGCCCGGUGCUGGAAGGUUAAUUGAUGGGGUUAGCGUAAGCGAAGCUCUUGAUCGAAGCCCCAGUAAACGGCGGCCGUAACUAUAACGGUCCUAAGGUAGCGAAAUUCCUUGUCGGGUAAGUUCCGACCUGCACGAAUGGCAUAAUGAUGGCGGCGCUGUCUCCAGCAGAGGCUCAGUGAAAUCGAAAUCGCUGUGAAGAUGCAGUGUACCCGCGGCUAGACGGAAAGACCCCGUGAACCUUUACUGCAGCUUGACACUGAACUUUGACCUUACUUGUGUAGGAUAGGUGGGAGGCUUUGAAGCUGGAACGCUAGUUCCAGUGGAGCCGUCCUUUGAAAUACCACCCUGGUAAUGUUGAGGUUCUAACUCUGUCCCGUGAUCCGGGACGAGGACCGUGUCUGGUGGGUAGUUUGACUGGGGCGGUCUCCUCCUAAAGAGUAACGGAGGAGUACGAAGGUGCGCUCAGCGUGGUCGGAAAUCACGCGUAGAGUAUAAAGGCAAAAGCGCGCUUAACUGCGAGACCCACAAGUCGAGCAGGUACGAAAGUAGGUCUUAGUGAUCCGGUGGUUCUGUAUGGAAGGGCCAUCGCUCAACGGAUAAAAGGUACUCUGGGGAUAACAGGCUGAUACCGCCCAAGAGUUCAUAUCGACGGCGGUGUUUGGCACCUCGAUGUCGGCUCAUCUCAUCCUGGGGCUGAAGCAGGUCCCAAGGGUAUGGCUGUUCGCCAUUUAAAGAGGUACGCGAGCUGGGUUUAGAACGUCGUGAGACAGUUCGGUCCCUAUCUACCGUGGGCGCUGGAAAUUUGAGAGGAUCUGCUCCUAGUACGAGAGGACCAGAGUGGACGAACCUCUGGUGUACCGGUUGUGACGCCAGUCGCAUCGCCGGGUAGCUAUGUUCGGAAGGGAUAACCGCUGAAAGCAUCUAAGCGGGAAGCCUACCUCAAGAUAAGAUUUCCCUAGGACUUUAUGUCCUCUAAAGAGCCGUUCGAGACUAGGACGUUGAUAGGUUGGAUGUGGAAGCAUAGUGAUAUGUGAAGCUGACCAAUACUAAUUGCUCGUGAGGCUUGACUA
This 2885-nucleotide ribosomal RNA is filed under the name Acinetobacter baumannii. Its description in RNAcentral is "bacterial LSU rRNA". It matches the Rfam family "Bacterial large subunit ribosomal RNA". The record is from RNAcentral. Lineage: Bacteria; Pseudomonadati; Pseudomonadota; Gammaproteobacteria; Moraxellales; Moraxellaceae.